RNAcentral lists this ribosomal RNA (2456 nucleotides) under Staphylococcus aureus M1060. Its description in RNAcentral is "bacterial LSU rRNA". It matches the Rfam family "Bacterial large subunit ribosomal RNA", at positions 3 to 2457 of the family's 2925-position model. The record is from RNAcentral. Lineage: Bacteria; Bacillati; Bacillota; Bacilli; Caryophanales; Staphylococcaceae.
UUAAGUUAUUAAGGGCGCACGGUGGAUGCCUUGGCACUAGAAGCCGAUGAAGGACGUUACUAACGACGAUAUGCUUUGGGGAGCUGUAAGUAAGCUUUGAUCCAGAGAUUUCCGAAUGGGGAAACCCAGCAUGAGUUAUGUCAUGUUAUCGAUAUGUGAAUACAUAGCAUAUCAGAAGGCACACCCGGAGAACUGAAACAUCUUAGUACCCGGAGGAAGAGAAAGAAAAUUCGAUUCCCUUAGUAGCGGCGAGCGAAACGGGAAGAGCCCAAACCAACAAGCUUGCUUGUUGGGGUUGUAGGACACUCUAUACGGAGUUACAAAGGACGACAUUAGACGAAUCAUCUGGAAAGAUGAAUCAAAGAAGGUAAUAAUCCUGUAGUCGAAAAUGUUGUCUCUCUUGAGUGGAUCCUGAGUACGACGGAGCACGUGAAAUUCCGUCGGAAUCUGGGAGGACCAUCUCCUAAGGCUAAAUACUCUCUAGUGACCGAUAGUGAACCAGUACCGUGAGGGAAAGGUGAAAAGCACCCCGGAAGGGGAGUGAAAUAGAACCUGAAACCGUGUGCUUACAAGUAGUCAGAGCCCGUUAAUGGGUGAUGGCGUGCCUUUUGUAGAAUGAACCGGCGAGUUACGAUUUGAUGCAAGGUUAAGCAGUAAAUGUGGAGCCGUAGCGAAAGCGAGUCUGAAUAGGGCGUUUAGUAUUUGGUCGUAGACCCGAAACCAGGUGAUCUACCCUUGGUCAGGUUGAAGUUCAGGUAACACUGAAUGGAGGACCGAACCGACUUACGUUGAAAAGUGAGCGGAUGAACUGAGGGUAGCGGAGAAAUUCCAAUCGAACCUGGAGAUAGCUGGUUCUCUCCGAAAUAGCUUUAGGGCUAGCCUCAAGUGAUGAUUAUUGGAGGUAGAGCACUGUUUGGACGAGGGGCCCCUCUCGGGUUACCGAAUUCAGACAAACUCCGAAUGCCAAUUAAUUUAACUUGGGAGUCAGAACAUGGGUGAUAAGGUCCGUGUUCGAAAGGGAAACAGCCCAGACCACCAGCUAAGGUCCCAAAAUAUAUGUUAAGUGGAAAAGGAUGUGGCGUUGCCCAGACAACUAGGAUGUUGGCUUAGAAGCAGCCAUCAUUUAAAGAGUGCGUAAUAGCUCACUAGUCGAGUGACACUGCGCCGAAAAUGUACCGGGGCUAAACAUAUUACCGAAGCUGUGGAUUGUCCUUUGGACAAUGGUAGGAGAGCGUUCUAAGGGCGUUGAAGCAUGAUCGUAAGGACAUGUGGAGCGCUUAGAAGUGAGAAUGCCGGUGUGAGUAGCGAAAGACGGGUGAGAAUCCCGUCCACCGAUUGACUAAGGUUUCCAGAGGAAGGCUCGUCCGCUCUGGGUUAGUCGGGUCCUAAGCUGAGGCCGACAGGCGUAGGCGAUGGAUAACAGGUUGAUAUUCCUGUACCACCUAUAAUCGUUUUAAUCGAUGGGGGGACGCAGUAGGAUAGGCGAAGCGUGCGAUUGGAUUGCACGUCUAAGCAGUAAGGCUGAGUAUUAGGCAAAUCCGGUACUCGUUAAGGCUGAGCUGUGAUGGGGAGAAGACAUUGAGUCUUCGAGUCGUUGAUUUCACACUGCCGAGAAAAGCCUCUAGAUAGAAAAUAGGUGCCCGUACCGCAAACCGACACAGGUAGUCAAGAUGAGAAUUCUAAGGUGAGCGAGCGAACUCUCGUUAAGGAACUCGGCAAAAUGACCCCGUAACUUCGGGAGAAGGGGUGCUCUUUAGGGUUAACGCCCAGAAGAGCCGCAGUGAAUAGGCCCAAGCGACUGUUUAUCAAAAACACAGGUCUCUGCUAAACCGUAAGGUGAUGUAUAGGGGCUGACGCCUGCCCGGUGCUGGAAGGUUAAGAGGAGUGGUUAGCUUCUGCGAAGCUACGAAUCGAAGCCCCAGUAAACGGCGGCCGUAACUAUAACGGUCCUAAGGUAGCGAAAUUCCUUGUCGGGUAAGUUCCGACCCGCACGAAAGGCGUAACGAUUUGGGCACUGUCUCAACGAGAGACUCGGUGAAAUCAUAGUACCUGUGAAGAUGCAGGUUACCCGCGACAGGACGGAAAGACCCCGUGGAGCUUUACUGUAGCCUGAUAUUGAAAUUCGGCACAGCUUGUACAGGAUAGGUAGGAGCCUUUGAAACGUGAGCGCUAGCUUACGUGGAGGCGCUGGUGGGAUACUACCCUAGCUGUGUUGGCUUUCUAACCCGCACCACUUAUCGUGGUGGGAGACAGUGUCAAGCGGGCAGUUUGACUGGGGCGGUCGCCUCCUAAAAGGUAACGGAGGCGCUCAAAGGUUCCCUCAGAAUGGUUGGAAAUCAUUCAUAGAGUGUAAAGGCAUAAGGGAGCUUGACUGCGAGACCUACAAGUCGAGCAGGGUCGAAAGACGGACUUAGUGUUCCUUGGGCAGCGAAACCGCGAGGUCAAGCAAAUCCCAU